Molecule: ribosomal RNA, 256 nt
Filed under: uncultured bacterium
Lineage: Bacteria
Description: partial 16S ribosomal RNA
Rfam family: Bacterial small subunit ribosomal RNA
Source: RNAcentral
UACGUAGGGUGCGAGCGUUGUCCGGAAUUAUUGGGCGUAAAGAGCUCGUAGGCGGUGUGUCACGUCGGCCCGUGAAAAACCUGCAGCUUAACUGUGGGCGUGCGGUCGAUACGGGCAUCACUGGAGUUCGGCAGGGGAGACUGGAAUUCCUGGUGUAGCGGUGAAAUGCGCAGAUAUCAGGAGGAACACCGGUGGCGAAGGCGGGUCUCUGGGCCGAUACUGACGCUGAGGAGCGAAAGCCAGGGGAGCAAACGGG